This is a long non-coding RNA of Brassica napus (rape), 1417 nucleotides long. RefSeq lists it as uncharacterized. The transcript is spliced from 4 exons. The record is from RefSeq and is a predicted model, not a curated record. Lineage: Eukaryota; Viridiplantae; Streptophyta; Magnoliopsida; Brassicales; Brassicaceae.
AUUUAUUAUUAAUAUCUUUAUAUAUUGAAUAGAUUAAUAUAAAUAAUUAAAUAAAUGUAAUUAAUGAAAUGGAUCUAAUAAGACUAGUAUGACUUUUUUAUGGUAGAUAAAAAAGGUACUUCUCUUUUAAUAGAGAAGAUUAUUCAAUCUUAAUUAUUUUAAAAUUUUAUGUAGCCAUGAAAUGGUUAUGCAGAGCUGAAAGAAAUUGGUAUUUUCUUGAGAAUAUGAAGAGAAGAAUCGGUCUUGCAAUUAUAAAUUUACACGAAUCCCUUAUAUACUAAAGCGCAAGUCGUCUGGCGAAUCAGAUAUUGCCAUGUGGAAAUUUUUUUAAAAACAAUUAAAAAAUUUAACACUUGCAAAAGUUUUAAAAACAAUUAUUUUUUUUCCUAUAUUUCAACAAUUCAAAUAUUCAACUACCUAUAUUCCUAAUUUUUCUCAAAAACCCACCCCACGUUACUCAUAUAUUUUGAAACUGUUUUUUUUUUGUAUAAAACUGUUUCUUCAUCUCUAAUAUAAAUUAAAUUACUUUCUUCUCUCUAUUGUAUCUACAAAGCAUCGUGUCUUCAAAAGUGAGACUCUAAGUUUUGACACAUGGCGAUCAAAGUUCAUGUUCUCUGAAUUGUACUCAGGUCUAAGCUUUACAUAGAACAAACAAUCAGUGCAUUUUUUUUUGGUUUAAAAACAAUCAGCGCAUUGUUGCAUUGUGUCUAUACUCUACAGCACAUCAUCAAAAAGAAAAAGAUUACGUUUUACCCAUCCAUGUGCAACAAAAAUUACGUUCUUUACAUAUUUGCUAUAAAUGGAGAGAACAAAUGUGAAAAGAGAUCAUGAAUUUGAGUGUAACCAAAGAGCUAUGAUGCAGGUUGAAGAUGUUACCGGAAUAUAUUGCUAUUUCCCAGCUCAAUUAAUUUCAAAAAAUGAAAAAUUAGAGUACUGGUCUCUCGGAUUUUUGGAUGAAAAGAAACCGGUCGAUGAGGGACACGUAUAGGAAGAAAAGUCCGGUUUUGGUGACCGAGAGGGGGUGACGUGUACGGUUGGAGAUGUGUUAGUUGGGUGGCGGGAGAGAUGAGAGAAAGAAAGGUUCAUUGCACCACUGACAAAGACAGACCUUUUAAUUCCGUAAAUAUCUUGUCUUUCUCUUGUUUUAUUUAUUUUCCUAUUCUUUUGGUUCUUAAUAUCUCAAAUAAAUAACAUUAUAUUGGUUGUCAACAGAGCGUUACUUUUUUUUUGUGCAUAACAGAACGUUACUACUAUAAAACUAUUUUACCAAGUUCCAUAUGUUUUAUGCCACUUGUGUCGUAUUCUUUGGAUAAUGUGUAAACGACAUGUUAUCUGUAAAUGGAAAUGUGAAAGUUGGUUCUGGAUGAUGGGCAACAGACUAAAUACCCAAGACACCUCAGAUUCAAUGAACCAAUCA